Long non-coding RNA from Syngnathus acus (greater pipefish), 1688 nucleotides. RefSeq lists it as uncharacterized. Lineage: Eukaryota; Metazoa; Chordata; Actinopteri; Syngnathiformes; Syngnathidae. The transcript is spliced from 3 exons. The record is from RefSeq and is a predicted model, not a curated record.
AGAGGCUCCUGGGGAUUGAGGUUCAAAUCUUUGGUUAUGUUGAAAUGGUGGCAAGCACGCUAACCUCUGGAUGGCCCCCCUGUGGAGAUGAGUAGCGUGGUUUUAAAUAUUACAAUUUUUCAUCAUCCAAUUUUUUUUGGGUUGAAAUAAUUCCUUUGUAUAUAUUAGGGCUGUAAAAAUACGAUCAAACAUAAUCCAAGUUCAUUUCUAGCGCACAUUUUGCACCAGCUGCAGCUGUAAUAAAGUACAACUGAUCAAUUCUAUUUCUCGUUUUCAGAGAAGACACCAGAGGCAAAUCUAUUGACUCAUCUCUGAGAUCACCACUCAAAUGACACCCCAAGUAGUCCGCUGUGUUGACCUGGAUGUGGGCCAGAAGCGGGCUCUCAAAGCACUUCCCAAUGAUUGGAGUGGCCUACUGCUCUGUCGUCACUCAGGCAGGCGGGCUCUUCCUGGGAAGAAACUGUUCUUUUAACCACAAAAUGGGUUCUUCUUUGCUUCUGUUUGUGAAGUUACUUCAUGCAGGCUUCUUCAUCCUGGUUGGAAGCUGAUGGCGGCUCGCCUUGACUGCUUAUCUUCUGCCUGUGGUCGUUCGUCGGCUGUUCGGGCCUCGUCUUAUCAGGACCCGGCCUGCUCGGAUUGGAGGGUUCGUGGGAAGUAAACAUAGAACCUGUCCUUUGCUUAUCUGCACCCAGGAGGCUGUGUGUGCGUGUGUGUGUAGGAUGGAGAAAGAAAAGCCUGUUUCCAUGACAACCUCUUCCUUCACCCCCCCUCCCCUCUUCUCUCUCUCGAGGAGAACCCUGGUGGUCUUUGUGUAAUGCGAUUCCACUAGAAUGCACCGUGGAUUAGAGCUCCACAGCCUUCGGGCCCAAGGCAGGCCAGUGAAGACAUGAUUACCCAGAUCAAAUGCUGUAAUCACUUGGCACUGGAGGCUUUCACAUCCAUUCCAGAUAAAACCUCAAACUGGCAAUGCUCAGGUGAUUAAGGGAUUAUUAUUCUGCAUUUCACCACGGUGACGGUCACUCUCAUUCCCCUGACGUCAGAAGAAAGGUUGUGACCAGAACCCAGCGGCGGUCGGUCCAUGUAUUGACAUUCAACCACCCCUCCCUUUUAAGUGUUCCUGAGGGUCUUGUCUUGGCUCCAACAAUACACUCACAAGUGGAGCGUGUUUUUAUGUUUGCUGUACAACACUCAGCAUGGGCUCCUCCAUGAGAACCCGCUGAAACCUCUCGAGGUGGAUUCGGAAGGCGAGGCAAUGACCCUCCCUCCCUCCCUCCGAGUACGCGCCAAUAGGCACUCAGAGGUACGGGGAGAUAUUCCACUUGUUUGAUUAAGUGAGGAAGAAAACUACUUGAGCAAGAAGCUUAGGCUACAAAUGUUGGAGGAAGAACACACUUGAGCCAUGUGGGAAAAGAAAGACUAUAGCCGCUAACAAAUGGGCCCGUGAGAGCGGGCCACGGCGCUUGGCUCCAUGCUGAAAGCAUCCGGCCUCACUAUUGUCAGCUAACAACAACAUCUGUGAAGAGGUAGCCGUAAGAAGGAAGGGCUCACAAAAAAAGUCCUAGAGGAGCCCGGCUGCCGAGGCCAUUCUACUCAUCCGCGCUCAAAAGUACUUGUCUACCAAAAGCCCACUUGAGAGAAUGUAAGAGCGCUAUUGCAUCAUAUUUCUCAAGUGUCGCUGUAAAGUAUUC